Molecule: unclassified non-coding RNA, 4055 nt
Filed under: Hevea brasiliensis (rubber tree)
Lineage: Eukaryota; Viridiplantae; Streptophyta; Magnoliopsida; Malpighiales; Euphorbiaceae
Rfam family: 5' ureB small RNA (bases 2365-2657)
Source: RNAcentral
GGCAUUAAGUUGCCAUCAUUUGGAUUUUGGAAUAAGAGAAAUUAAACAACUGAUAGUACGUACCACUGACAUGCAAUGAUUUUAUCAUGCGUGUAUUCUCAAUUGUUAUUCAAAGUAUGGAAAGCAAAUAACAACUCCCACAAGAUCACACAAAAAAAUGAUGAUGAAAAGAAAGGAAAUUCGUUCAUUUAUUCUAAUUUAUUAGUUGUGAUAUUCAUUGUGAUGUCUAAAAAAGGAAGUAAUUCCGAGAAAGCGGAACCGUGGUGGAAGCAGUACAGGUGAGAACCUCACCAUCUGCUGUCACUGUAUAUGUUUCUGGAUCUACUGUGAUAUUAGGAAGGGCAUCAUUGAGCUUCAUGUCAAGUUUAGUGAGUCUCCUAACAUUGCCUACGGCUUCCACUCUUUUGCUGAGUCCAUACAAAGCCUUUAUCCCAUUAUACGCUGCGAUCUUGCUGACAAAAGCAACGGAGUUAGCACUUCCAGCCUUGCCAAAGGCUCCAAACAUAGGUCUUGAAAUCACCUGCAGAAACUAGAAUAAUUAACAUAGGUCUUAAAUUUUUUCCCUUUUUAGUCUAUAUGCUCUCUUUCAGGCCAAUUCGACAUAUAUUUCCGUAUCUUGUAUUAGGAUCCUGUGCGAGUGAGUGGACCUUUGCUUUUGCAAAAUUACAGUUCCUAAUCACCCAAGUGAUUAAAUGAACACAAGCAGCAACUUAACUUCAAUCAAUAAAGGGAUGCAUUAACUCGACAGCUAUAAGUUCACAUAAUUUCAAUGUUAAUGUCAUUGUUGUAGCAUGAAAAAUUAAUAUAAAUGCCCAUCAACUUGUUAGCAAAGCCUGAAAAUCCAUCACAUAAGAAUCUGCUUUCAGUAGUAGUAUCAAAUAUUACCGGUUCAGGUGUGGGGAUGCUUGCAUUUGGAUCACCCAUUUCAGCCCAUGCAAUUACACCACCCUUAAUCACCAUUUCUGGUUUUGCCCCAAAGAAAGAAGGCUUCCAUAAAACAAGAUCAGCCAACUUUCCCACCUGCAGGAACAUAUAUUACUGACAGAAGGAAAUGCAGAUUCUAAAUUUAUUUUAGUGUCAAGAAAGUUUGAUCAAUCAGCCAAGAAAUUCUCUAUAAAUUGAAUAAUUCCAACAGCUGCUGAAUGCUUUCAUAACAAUAUGUACACCAGAGAAUUGUGGCACAUACCUCAACUGAACCAAUUAAUUCAGCAAACCCAUUUGCUACUGCUGGGUUUAUAGUGUACUUUGCAAUAUAUCGUUUGAUACGGAAGUUAUCAUUGUCUGAUCCACCAGGACCAAUUGAUCCCCUAUGUGAUUUCAUUUUGUGAGCAGUUUGCCAAGUUCUGCUUAUGACCUGGUAUGAAAACAAUUCGACUCAUGUAGACCUUAGCUUUGAGAAUAAAUGAAUUAUUACAAAUGAUAAAUGUGCUACAAGUAGAGGUUAUAAGAACCAAGACACCAAGUUAAGAAGAAUCUACAGCUUUACAUGCAUUUGAACAAAGCUCAAUAGCUCAUUAUCAUUUCAAGCAUAACCAUAGCAAGAUCAUGGAUUGAAUAAAAAUAGACUUUUUUACAUACAUGCACAAUCAAGUCGAACUAGAAUUAUGAUUCAUUAAUAUUCAUAUGGAACUCAAAAUGCAAAUGAAACUAGAUAGAAAUUAAAAAGUAAUGGGAAGAAGUAAACAGAUAACCUCUCCAAUGCGUCCCAUAGCUUGCGAAUCAGAAGAUAUAAUGCUAAUUGCCCCCAAAUCAUGCAAUAUAUCCUCCGCAGCGAUUGUUUCAGCCCUUAUCCUUGAUUCAGCAAAAGCUACAUCUUCUGGAAUGUCUUUGUCAAGAUGAUGGCAGACCAUCAGCAUAUCAAGAUGUUCAUCGAUGGUAUUGGAAGUGUAAGGCCGGGUAGGGUUUGUUGAUGACGGUAGGACAUUUUUUACACCACAUACUUUGAUAAUAUCUGGAGCAUGACCUCCACCUGCACCUUCACUGUGAUACGCAUGAAUUGUUCUUCCUUUAAAUGCAGCAAUUGUGUGUUCCACGAAUCCAGAUUCAUUCAAGGUGUCUGUGUGGAUAUUGACCUGUAUGUCAUAUUCUUCUGCGACAGUCAAACAAUUGUCUAUUGCAGCAGGAGUAGUUCCCCAGUCCUCAUGCAACUUUAGUCCCAUUGCCCCAGCCUUGAUUAUUUCUUGUAGCUCAUCAGGUUUGGCACCAUUACCUUUUCCAGUGAACCCAAAAUUCAGAGGCAGGUCAUCAGUAGAUUGCAGCAUCAAUUUCAUUUGUGAUGGAGCAGGAGUGCAGGUAGUUGCACGUGUCCCAUCAGCGGGUCCUGUUCCACCUCCCACAAGUGUUGUGAUGCCACUUGAUAUUGCCUCGUAUGCAAGCUGGGGGCAUAUGAAGUGCACAUGACAAUCUAUGGCCCCUGCAGUUACAAUCAUUCCUUCGCCCGCAAUAACCUCAGUGUUAACUCCAAUGAUCAUAUCAGAAUGAACAUUAUUCAUGAUAUCAGGAUUUCCUGCUUUUCCAAUAGCAGCAAUAAGACCACCUCUAAUACCAAUAUCUGCCUUGUAGAUUCCACUGUAAUCAAUGAUCACAGCAUUUGUUAUCACAGCAUCAAGAGAGUCAACUGGUUGAUGCCCACAUGACUGGCCCAUUCCAUCCCUUAUAACUUUCCCACCUCCAAAAACACAUUCAUCCCCAUAAAUAGCAAAAUCUCUUUCAAUUUCAGCAUAAAGAUUGGUAUCACCAAGCCGGAUUUUGUCACCCGUAGUAGGGCCGUACAUGUUAGCAUAGGCCUCAUGAGAAACAACAGUGGUGAAAUCAGAAUCUUCUCCAGUUACACCUUCACUGCAAAAGAUCAGUUCUGAAAUAAGAUGUCUUCCUCUGUUUCCAAUCAAUUUUGUUGACUAGGCUAUAUCACAUGCCAAAAAAGGGAGAGAAAGAACUUCCUAUGUUUCUGAUCAAUUUUGUUGACAAGGCUUUAUCAAAUGCCAAAAAAGGGAGAACAAGCACAUAGGGGAGAGAAAGUCCUCUUGAUAGCACAUUAAGGAAAUGAAAAUUUAGCUGAGUCAAAGAUUUGAACCGAGCAUUUUCUUCUUCCUGAUUCCCAAAUCCUCUUGAUUUUACAGUUUCUGAUACUGCUGCAUAAUUGGCAUCAUCAACUGGACCAUCAACAAUGCCAUUUCCGCCUCUGAUAACCUUUUUACCUCCAAUGCUUACAAGGACAACACUUUUGCAUUCCCCUGGCUCAAAUCGUAUAGCUGUUCCUGCUAGAAUGUUCAGGCGCAUGCCAUAUGCUUUCAUUCGAUCAAAACACAAGCAUGGGUUUGUCUCAAUGAAAUGAUAGUGGCUGCCCACCUGAAUUGGUCUGUCUCCACGGUUCACAACUUUGAGAAUCACUGCUUUCCUUCCAGGAUUAAGUGUAAUAUUUCCAUCUCCAAAGAUAAACACGCCCGGAAUUUCAUUUUCUUCUAUUCCAGGAAACUUGUCAAGUGAAGGAACUGGAAGAAAGGAACCAUGUAAAGCUAGCUCCAGAUUUCCAUUUUCACUAGCAAUAGGAUUGUGAACAGUGACUAACUUGGUCCCAUCUGGAAAUGUUCCUUCAACCUGCACGGAAUCCAAAAGGUGUGGAACUGCAGGAAGAACUUGUCUCCUUCCCAGUAAACAUUUCCCAACAUCCAUCAAAUCAGCCACUGUCUUAUCACCAUCGCGAACAAACUCCAAAAUCUGAGUGGCAACGAGAGCUACGGCCUCAGAGUAAUUGAGCCUGAGGCCCCGAGCGAGACGCUUCUGGGCAAGAUAACCAGCGUUAUGCAGUCCUAAUUUCUCCACCUCUCUGGGUGUCAGCUUCAUCUUUCAGAUCACUUAGCUCUUUCUCCUCAAAGAUCCCAAGUCAAUAUACAGUUAAGUAGAAAAAUUAAGGGCAUGGAUUCAAAUGGUGGAUUGAACAGGAUACAGAUUACAGAGACAGUUCGCCCAUUGCUCUACUGUUGAAGUGAGGCGAGUUUGUCGUUUUCUGUGUCAUGUGCUAAAUAUUUAUUACGUUUGUGUACGUCGGAAAGCAC